This 76-nucleotide transfer RNA is filed under the name Limnochordaceae bacterium. RNAcentral describes it as "tRNA-Glu". It matches the Rfam family "tRNA". From Rfam's summary of the family: Transfer RNA (tRNA) molecules are approximately 80 nucleotides in length. Their secondary structure includes four short double-helical elements and three loops (D, anti-codon, and T loops). Further hydrogen bonds mediate the characteristic L-shaped molecular structure. tRNAs have two regions of fundamental functional importance: the anti-codon, which is responsible for specific mRNA codon recognition, and the 3' end, to which the tRNAs corresponding amino acid is attached (by aminoacyl-tRNA synthetases). tRNAs cope with the degeneracy of the genetic code in two manners: having more than one tRNA (with a specific anti-codon) for a particular amino acid; and 'wobble' base-pairing, i.e. permitting non-standard base-pairing at the 3rd anti-codon position. Lineage: Bacteria; Bacillati; Bacillota; Limnochordia; Limnochordales; Limnochordaceae. The record is from RNAcentral.
GCCCCCAUCGUCUAGAGGCCCAGGACACGUGGUUCUCAGCCACGGGACAGCGGUUCGAAUCCGCUUGGGGGUACCA